GUAGGUGGCAAGCGUUAUCCGGAAUUAUUGGGCGUAAAGCGCGCGCAGGCGGUUUCUUAAGUCUGAUGUGAAACGCCCACGGCUCAACCGUGGAGGGUCAUUGGAAACUGGGGAACUUGAGUGCAGAAGAGAAAAGCGGAAUUCCACGUGUAGCGGUGAAAUGCGUAGAGAUGUGGAGGAACACCAGUGGCGAAGGCGGCUUUUUUAGGUCUGUAACUGACGCUGAGGCGCGAAAGCGUGGGGAGCAAACAGGGAUUAGAUACCCUGGUAGUCCACGCCGUAAACGAUGAGUGCUAAGUGUUAGAGGGUUUUCCGCCCCUUUAGUGCUGCAGCUAACGCAUUAACGCACUCCGCCCUGGGAGUACGGUCGCAAGACUG
This 378-nucleotide ribosomal RNA is filed under the name uncultured organism. RNAcentral describes it as "partial 16S ribosomal RNA". It matches the Rfam family "Bacterial small subunit ribosomal RNA", at positions 527 to 896 of the family's 1533-position model. The record is from RNAcentral.